Molecule: unclassified non-coding RNA, 1668 nt
Filed under: Fusarium nirenbergiae
Lineage: Eukaryota; Fungi; Ascomycota; Sordariomycetes; Hypocreales; Nectriaceae
Description: partial 28S-18S ribosomal RNA intergenic spacer
Source: RNAcentral
CCCCAAUGGGUUCUCCGGAUUUCUGGAGACUUGUAGGGGUUGUGGGAUUUUUGAUGUGUCGUCUCCGGACGGGCGGUGCAGGGUAGUCGAGUUAGACUUGGUGGAGUUCCGUCGAGUCUGGUCGGCUGUGUGUUGGACGGUGCAGGGUAGGCUGCUUGGAGAUGGUCGGUUCGAGGAUCGAUUCGAGGGCCGGCCUGUCGAUGGUGUGUGAUGUAUGCGGUCUAGGGUAGGCUGGUUUGUCUUGGUUCAAUUUGAUGUCGCCUCCCGUGCAGGCCAGAGUGAGGAGGGUCCAGGGUAGGUACAGGGUAGGCAGCUUAGAUUUGGUUGAUCUGGAGGUCGAUUCUCCGGCUGGCGGAUCUGACACUGUCGAAACGAGAUGCGAGCGGUGUAGGGUAGGCUAGUUUCGUCCUCGCCAGGUUGCGAUUUGGACGAGAUGUGUGGUUUAGGGUAGGCUCUAGGGUAAGUAGAACUCGAGUUUCGUCGCCGACAGUUUUCUGUGGGUGUAUGGUAGGUACAGGGUAGGCAAAUCUCUCUCCGGCCAGUACUUGUCUGGUGGUCGUGAGUCGAUUUUUUUGUUUUGCCAUACUAUUGAAUUUUGCGGAAAUUCAAAAGUGGCUCGGGAGUCCCGCCUGGCGUGCGUCCGACUCGAACAUCGUCGGUGUACAUAUGAGAGGGAGUAAUCCGGCCCGGCCGGGGCCCAUCGCGAGCUGCCGGGUAGGUAAAAGUAAAAAAGUUGUUAAGAGGCGCGGUGUCGGCGUGCUUGUAUUUGCGGGAGAGAAUUAUCUGGGGGUGCUGGGUAGCCGGGAAGACUUGGACGGAUCUGGCCCGGGAAUGGGUCUGGGCCUGGAUUCUGGUGUGGUGUAGGGUAGGCUUAGAUAGAUGAGUGGUCUAGGGUAGAUACAGGGUAGCCAGACGUCUGGUAUAUAGUAUGGGGGUGUAGGGUAGGUCUGGACACCGUUUUCCACUUCGCCCUUCCCUUUAGUCGAGGGAGGACGAUCUUGGCUGGGACGGAGGUGUAGGGUAGGCUUAAUUUACGAUUACAUGAUCUGUGUCACUCUAGGGUAGGUGAAAAUCCCAUAUAUAUCUGAUCACAUUUGGUGAGGAGGUGGUUUGGCUGGUGAGAUGGACAAAAGUGCAAUGUAGAAUUAUAUGUGAUUUUGCAAAAGUGGGUGUGAAAUUGGAAAGUCGGUUUUCCCGCACAGAUGAGAGCACGUUUAAGGUGCCAUAAGAUGCAACUAUCCGAGACGACCUCAACGGUGCCACCCAUGUGUUGGUCGGGCUCCUGUGCGGCCGUCCAGGGCGGGAUAAGUAGAGAGUGUGGUGGUGUAGGGUAGGUGACCAGGUCCAGGGUAGGUUCGCCAAAUCCGUCAAUCCGGCUUGAAUCGAAGGGCAGGUCUAGGGUAGGCCAGAGUCGGGUCUAGGGUAGGCAACCCUCACCCUCGAAGUGGUCUACCCGGUAGCCAACUUCAAUCGCCUCUCACGGCCGCCACGGACCUCGCAUGACGACGGGACUACCACCAUCGGAUUCGCCUUGGUCGAAAUAGCUGGUAUAUGCACUUUUGAAAAAAUGCGUGCAAAAUGGUUUUGUGGUUUGGUGGCCGUGAGUCGAUUUUUUUGUUUUCCCAUACAAAUGAAUUUUGCGGAAAAUGAAAAGUGGCCCACGAGGCA